Molecule: small RNA, 1033 nt
Filed under: Drosophila yakuba
Lineage: Eukaryota; Metazoa; Arthropoda; Insecta; Diptera; Drosophilidae
Description: GE29045
Source: RNAcentral
CGCAUAAAAAAAAAUUUGUCUACGGUUAAGGUGUUCACAGACCUCUAGUUCCGGACUGAAGUGUGGAAAGUUUGGAGCCACAUCGAUACAGAUCGAUGUGAAUCACCAUCAAAGAGGAAGUUAAUUAGCAUGCAGCUGACUUAUUCCGAUGGCCUAGCGAUACAGUACAGAUGUAUAUGGACUACGCUCGUAUACCAUCAAUCCCAGCGAUAUAUGUAUAUACCAGAACGCCAAUUGAAAUUAGCUGGAAACCACAUAUGCCAUAUGAUCUCCUUUAUCCGCACUUCUCCACCCUCUGCGAUAUUUGCCAUUACUAUUUACUUUGUUGCUGAUUGUCGCCAACCUGUUGAGCAUGUGAGCAAAUAGCGGAGAAAAUACCUAAGCAAAUAGGAGCUUCGAUGGGCUUCCUGUAAUUGCGUUAAAUAUUUGCAUACAAGCGCCGGCAAUCGAACGCAGUGGGCUGGCUGGCUGGCACGAUUUCAAUUUGCAUUUUGUGCAUCGAUCUGGCGAUUCCGACUUCGAUGUCGAUCAAUCAAUCAACCAACCGAUGAUGACCUUCACACUGGCCAUGGUGGGCAAUCGCCGAGUACUGGCGCCAGGAGUGGGCGUGGCCUAUCACCUGAUAGUGAUCCAAAUUCGCACUUUAAGGGGCGUAACCGGGAAUGGUGCUAUCGCCCCCAAUCUGACCCACAAACACUGCGGGUUGCUGUACAGUUUACUUUUAUUAUCAAAUAUAUGGACAUUUGUUUAAAACUAGCACACAUAUGUAUACAUUUAGGUAUAUGUCUUUGCAAUCCUAAAAUAUGUUGAAAUACAGAAGGAGGUUUAUACAAAAAGGAGAGCACGUACAUAGGGUGGAAGUCCAUCGAAUCUUAUAUGAAUAUUUUCGGCUGACAAUGAGUACUUAGAAACUAGUUGAUCUAUACUACGUAACUGAACAUUGUGGAACAUCAUAAGUUAAGUUGUGCAUUUAGCCCAUUAUCGUCUUAAUUCUGAAGCAAUUCAGCAGUUUAAUACAAAACUAAAAAAAAUA